Long non-coding RNA from Dermochelys coriacea (leatherback sea turtle), 90 nucleotides. RefSeq lists it as uncharacterized. The record is from RefSeq and is a predicted model, not a curated record. The transcript has 4 exons. NCBI's taxonomy places the organism in Eukaryota, Metazoa, Chordata, Testudines, Dermochelyidae.
AUGACACCAACUCUUCAGUGAAAUUCUGAAAUUGCAGGAGCAGCAAUGCAAUCUGAAGUGUGUGUCCUUUCUAUUGGAGUUAGUCACACA